Neopsephotus bourkii (Bourke's parrot) is the source of this 912-nucleotide long non-coding RNA. RefSeq lists it as uncharacterized. Lineage: Eukaryota; Metazoa; Chordata; Aves; Psittaciformes; Psittacidae. The record is from RefSeq and is a predicted model, not a curated record. The transcript has 3 exons.
UAGGAAGUGAUGUAAUUCCGUCUGGGCCUGUCAAGCAAGCAAUGAUUGCAACAGAAAGGAGGAGGAAAAAAAAGUUGCUCUUCAAGCACUCCCUCGCUGAAGCACCUUCAUGCUGUAGGGUGCUUCAGCUGACUGUUUGAAGGUAUUUUCUCAGCUGUAAACAAUUCAUAGGAAGAUAAUAAAAUCUGAAAAACACAUUCUUUCGGUAAUACUCGACUAUAAAAAACCCACCAGCAUAUCCAAACUGUAAUGCUCCUGUACAGAAAGUUGUUGAUGCUCCUGAAGGCACUUUGCCUGCUGUUCUAUGCCAGUGGAAACUAGGGCUGAGGCAAUGAAGCAUAGAUGGUUGUUUUAAAAUAGAUCUAGACGUAUUUCUGAAACACAAUUAAAGAAAAUGCAAUUAAAGUAUUUUCUAUGGUGCUAUGUUGUUAAUACUGGUUUGACCACCACAGAUGCUAAUAUGGGAUAUGUCUCUUUGUCAGUGUGACUGUACUAAGCACAGUGAUAGCUAACUCUAUGAGUUUUCUACAGUCUUUGCAAUACCAUGGACACUAUUUCAGGAAUUUGAAACUUCUGCCUGAUAUCUGAAAUCAUUCAGAUACCACACUGAAACCUGAGAAAUCAUGUACCUGCACCCUCAUUUUCAGUAGGCAGUGUGAGCAGCAUCUAGCCCACAGUUCUUAUCUCUCUGAAAACAGUGCCCUGUCCCAACAUGUAGUGUAUUCAGCCACUGACAGGUCUUCAUGGAGGUGAUAACAUUUUUUGUGUGAUAUUAAUCCAAAAUGCCACCAUUUACAACCCACAGAGGGAUAUGCUGGGCUAUGUGGCAGGAAGCCCCACUUCUCAGCACCCUGUGUUUAAAUCAAACUUUCAACUUAGUAGAGCUGACUGUAGUGCUGCAAAGCUACCCCA